UACGGAGGGGGCAAGCGUUGUUCGGAAUUACUGGGCGUAAAGGGCGCGUAGGCGGGACGGUCAGUCAGGUGUGAAAUCCCCGGGCUCAACCUGGGAACUGCACUUGAUACUGCCGUGCUAGAGUCCGGGAGAGGGUAGUGGAAUUCCCAGUGUAGAGGUGAAAUUCGUAGAUAUUGGGAAGAACACCGGUGGCGAAGGCGGCUACCUGGACCGGUACUGACGCUGAGGCGCGAAAGCGUGGGGAGCAAACAGG
This 253-nucleotide unclassified non-coding RNA is filed under the name Rhodospirillales bacterium. RNAcentral describes it as "partial 16S ribosomal RNA". It matches the Rfam family "Bacterial small subunit ribosomal RNA", at positions 524 to 776 of the family's 1533-position model. RNAcentral also lists the same sequence under 1 other name. The record is from RNAcentral. Lineage: Bacteria; Pseudomonadati; Pseudomonadota; Alphaproteobacteria; Rhodospirillales.